UCUCAUGUCUCAGAUUGAACGCUGGCCGCAGGCCUAACACAUGCAAGUCGAGCGGUAGCACAGGGAGCUUGCUCUUGGGUGACGAGCGGCGGACGGGUGAGUAAUGUCUGGGAAACUGCCUGAUGGAGGGGGAUAACUACUGGAAACGGUAGCUAAUACCGCAUAACGUCGCAAGACCAAAGAGGGGGACCUUCGGGCCUCUUGCCAUCAGAUGUGCCCAGAUGGGAUUAGCUAGUAGGUGGGGUAACGGCUCACCUAGGCGACGAUCCCUAGCUGGUCUGAGAGGAUGACCAGCCACACUGGAACUGAGACACGGUCCAGACUCCUACGGGAGGCAGCAGUGGGGAAUAUUGCACAAUGGGCGCAAGCCUGAUGCAGCCAUGCCGCGUGUAUGAAGAAGGCCUUCGGGUUGUAAAGUACUUUCAGCGGGGAGGAAGGCGAUAAGGUUAAUAACCUUGUCGAUUGACGUUACCCGCAGAAGAAGCACCGGCUAACUCCGUGCCAGCAGCCGCGGUAAUACGGAGGGUGCAAGCGUUAAUCGGAAUUACUGGGCGUAAAGCGCACGCAGGCGGUCUGUCAAGUCGGAUGUGAAAUCCCCGGGCUCAACCUGGGAACUGCAUUCGAAACUGGCAGGCUAGAGUCUUGUAGAGGGGGGUAGAAUUCCAGGUGUAGCGGUGAAAUGCGUAGAGAUCUGGAGGAAUACCGGUGGCGAAGGCGGCCCCCUGGACAAAGACUGACGCUCAGGUGCGAAAGCGUGGGGAGCAAACAGGAUUAGAUACCCUGGUAGUCCACGCCGUAAACGAUGUCGACUUGGAGGUUGUGCCCUUGAGGCGUGGCUUCCGGAGCUAACGCGUUAAGUCGACCGCCUGGGGAGUACGGCCGCAAGGUUAAAACUCAAAUGAAUUGACGGGGGCCCGCACAAGCGGUGGAGCAUGUGGUUUAAUUCGAUGCAACGCGAAGAACCUUACCUACUCUUGACAUCCAGAGAACUUUCCAGAGAUGGAUUGGUGCCUUCGGGAACUCUGAGACAGGUGCUGCAUGGCUGUCGUCAGCUCGUGUUGUGAAAUGUUGGGUUAAGUCCCGCAACGAGCGCAACCCUUAUCCUUUGUUGCCAGCGGUCAGGCCGGGAACUCAAAGGAGACUGCCAGUGAUAAACUGGAGGAAGGUGGGGAUGACGUCAAGUCAUCAUGGCCCUUACGAGUAGGGCUACACACGUGCUACAAUGGCGCAUACAAAGAGAAGCGACCUCGCGAGAGCAAGCGGACCUCAUAAAGUGCGUCGUAGUCCGGAUUGGAGUCUGCAACUCGACUCCAUGAAGUCGGAAUCGCUAGUAAUCGUAGAUCAGAAUGCUACGGUGAAUACGUUCCCGGGCCUUGUACACACCGCCCGUCACACCAUGGGAGUGGGUUGCAAAAGAAGUAGGUAGCUUAACCUUCGGGAGGGCG
This 1445-nucleotide ribosomal RNA is filed under the name Enterobacter asburiae. RNAcentral describes it as "bacterial SSU rRNA". It matches the Rfam family "Bacterial small subunit ribosomal RNA". The record is from RNAcentral. Lineage: Bacteria; Pseudomonadati; Pseudomonadota; Gammaproteobacteria; Enterobacterales; Enterobacteriaceae.